RNAcentral lists this unclassified non-coding RNA (206 nucleotides) under uncultured fungus. RNAcentral describes it as "partial contains 18S rRNA, ITS1, 5.8S rRNA, ITS2 and 28S rRNA". The record is from RNAcentral. Lineage: Eukaryota; Fungi.
AAGGAUCAUUAACGAAUUACUGAGGGUUGAUGCUGGCAGUCCAGCUGCAUGUGCUCGCUCUUAUUAAUCCAUUUACACCUGUGCACUUAAUUUCGAAGGUAGGAUCUGCCUUUGAUAUUUAACAAAUUCUUUAUUGGAUCAAUGGGUAUUUAUCUGCUGCAAGGCAAAUUUUAAUACAACUUUUAACAACGGAUCUCUUGGCUCUC